This 67-nucleotide transfer RNA is filed under the name Crocidura nicobarica (Nicobar shrew). Its description in RNAcentral is "tRNA-Lys". It matches the Rfam family "tRNA". Rfam says of the family: Transfer RNA (tRNA) molecules are approximately 80 nucleotides in length. Lineage: Eukaryota; Metazoa; Chordata; Mammalia; Eulipotyphla; Soricidae. The record is from RNAcentral.
CAUUAAGAAGCUACAGCAGCGUUAACCUUUUAAGUUGAAGAGUGAGAGUUUAACCUCUCCUUAAUGA